Molecule: long non-coding RNA, 931 nt
Organism: Rhinichthys klamathensis goyatoka
Lineage: Eukaryota; Metazoa; Chordata; Actinopteri; Cypriniformes; Leuciscidae
Exons: 6
Source: RefSeq, a predicted model, not a curated record
UGAUCUUGCACACGCAGUCCUGAUAGUUUUUUCCAAACAGCUGCAUGCCGACCACAGCGAAGAUGAAGACGAUGAUGGCCAAGACCAGCGUCAGGUUCCCCAAAGCACCCACGGAGUUACCAAUGAUCUUUAUCAGUGUGUUGAGGGAUCAAAACUUACCAGUCUGAACGAGCGAAGGACAGACAGACCCUCCACAUUGGAAAGGCCCAACUCCAUCAGACUCAAACUAACGAUAAUUCCAUCAAAGAUGUUCCAGCCUUGCUGAAAGUAAUAGUACGGAUCCAGAGCAAAGAUCUUCAGCAUCAUUUCCGCUGUGAAGAUUCCAGUGAACACCUGGUUUCCAACACUCAGCAUGCUGUUGAAUUCAUCAGUCAUGGGAUAGUGCUCCAGUGCCAUGAACAAUGUGUUGAGAACAAUGCAAAUGGUAAUUGCAAGGUCCAAGAAGGGGUCCAUCACCAUGACUUUAAGUGCGUCCUUCACUCUCAGCCAGGCUGGAGAACACGUCCAAAUCAGGCUUCUGCGAUGGUCGCCUGGUUUUGCUCCUCAUAUGCCAUGGCCACGACAGCCAGGAUCAAGUUCACCAGGUUUUAAUAGAGCCUGAACAUGGACAUAGUGGAGGGAUUUUCAGAGCCUGUGGCAUUUGGGGACAAAACAAGAUAUCUGAACUGUCCAGUCAGAGGAGACUCUGCGUCACAACACAAACGACUGAGACAGGACUGGAAACCUGCGUGCAUCAUGACCGCGGACACUCAAACAUCUGUGCAUGCAGCUGUCACAUGAUGACAAAUCACUGCGCUCUUAUUUCAUUUGGGGAAUUAGAAGAGGAAUAUCAGCGGAUUUGGUUGGCGAUGCCAGGGAAGAACAUUACAGAGCUGUUUCAGAGAUGAGACCAAAUCCAAUAGAACUCUGAUGGUAAAUAUUUCAGAUUCGC